This 1476-nucleotide ribosomal RNA is filed under the name uncultured Bordetella sp. RNAcentral's name for it is "partial 16S-23S ribosomal RNA intergenic spacer". It matches the Rfam family "Bacterial small subunit ribosomal RNA". The record is from RNAcentral. Lineage: Bacteria; Pseudomonadati; Pseudomonadota; Betaproteobacteria; Burkholderiales; Alcaligenaceae.
UUGAUCAUGGCUCCAGAUUGAACGCUGGCGGGAUGCUUUACACAUACAAGUCGAACAACGCUGAGCUUCGGUCGGUCUGGUGGCGAGUGGCGAACGGGUGAGUAAUGUAUCGGAACGUGCCUAGUAGCGGGGGAUAACUACGCGAAAGCGUAGCUAAUGCCGCAUACGCCCUUCGGGGGAAAGCGGGGGACCUUCAGGCCUCGCACACUAUUAGAGCGGCCGAUAUCGGAUUAGCUAGUUGGUGGGAGCCAACGGCUCGCAAGGCGACGAUCCGUAGCUGGCGGGGACGACCAACCACACUGGGACUGAGACACGGCCCAGACUCACGGGAGGCAGCAGUGGGGAAUUUUGGACAAUGGGGGAAACCUGAUCCAGCCAUCCCGCGUGUGCGAUGAAGGCCUUCGGUUGUAAAGCACUUUUGGCAGGAAAGAAACGGCACGGGAUAAUACCCCGUGCAACUGACAGUACCUGCAGAAUAAGCACCGGCUAACUACGUGCCAGCAGCCGCGGUAAUACGUAGGGUGCAAGCGUUAAUCGGAAUUACUGGGCGUAAAGCGUGCGCAGGCGGUUCGGAAGAAAAGAUGUGAAAUCCAGAGCUUAACUUUGGAACUGCAUUUUUAACUACCGAGCUAGAGUGUGUCAGAGGUGGAAUUCCUUACGUGUAACAGUGAAAUGCGUAGAUAUGCGGAGGAACACCGAUGGCGAAGGCAGCCUCCUGGGAUAACGCAGCCGCUCAUGCGAAAGCGUGGGGAGCAAAACAGGGGAUUAGAUACCCUGGUAGUCCACGCCCUAAACGAUGUCAACUAGCUGUUGGGCCUUCGGGCCUUGGUAGCGCAGCUAACGUGAAGUUGACCGCCUGGGAGAGUACGGUCGCAAGAUUAAAACUCAAAGGAAUUGACAGGGACCCGCACAAGCGGUGGAUGAUGUGGAUUAAUUCGAUGCAACGCGAAAAACCUUACCUACCCUUGACAUGUCUGGAAUCCCGAAGAGAUUUGGGAGUGCUCGCAAGAGAACCGGAACACAGGUGCUGCAUGGCUGUCGUCAGCUCGUGUCGUGAGAUGUUGGGUUAGAUCCGCAGCGACGCAACCCUUGUCAUUAGUUGCUACGAAAGGGCACUCUAAUGAGACUGCCGGUGACAAACCGGAGGAAGUUGAGGAUGACGUCAAGUCCUCAUGGCCCCUUAUGGGUAGGGCUUCACACGUCAUACAAUGGUCGGGACAGAGGGUCGCCAACCCGCGAGGGAGACAAUCCCAGAAACCCGAUCGUAGUCCGGAUCGCAGUCUGCAACUCGACUGCGUGAAGUCGGAAUCGCUAGUAAUCGCGGAUCAGCAUGUCGCGGUGAAUACGUUCCCGGGUCUUGUACCACCGCCCGUCACACCAUGGGAGUGGGUUUUACCAGAAGUAGUUAGCCUAACCCGUAAGGAGGACGAUUACCACGGUAGGAUUCAUGACUGGGGUGAAGUCGUAACAAGGUAG